GGAGAACCCUGCAAAAUGUAAUCAUGUCAUUUGGAUCAAAUCAUGAAGCUUUCAAAAAUAAAGGAAAAUACAUUGCUCUUUCCCCUUCCCCACCAGCACUACAAUACUGAAUUAACACAUAAAUGAUCUGCUGGCCAGAGCAGAAUAUGGACCACAGAUGUUAACAACCUGGCACCGCUUGUUGUUUCUCAGUGUUGCAGGAGACAGUUUGUCCUGACUGAAUUCCCAAUGACGUGAAAAGACUGACCAAGUCCAGGCAUUUGAACCAAUUAUUAACUUCAAAUGAUGAGUGCUCAGCUACCUGACAGAUUCCAGUUUGGAAAAAUCCAUCUUUCCAGGAGUGAUGGAGCAGAUGUGUCUACUUUAGCAAUGGGCAGCCUAGAAGAUGGACAUUUGACAGGCGACAAUAGACUGCUCCUUUCCCAGAUUCCAAAACUUCUACACAAGCUGAGAGAAGAGAUAAGAUACAGCUACUGGUGAUUCACUCAGAGCACAGAGGGACCCUGUCCUGCACUGCAGCAAUGCCCACAGAGGAGCUUAGCCAGCUCUUUGGAGGCCAGC
RNAcentral lists this long non-coding RNA (561 nucleotides) under Parus major (Great Tit). RNAcentral describes it as "lncRNA (ENSPMJG00000016670.1)". The record is from RNAcentral. Lineage: Eukaryota; Metazoa; Chordata; Aves; Passeriformes; Paridae.